AUGGNUAGUCCGUACGAGCGCACCCCUAUCCUUAGUUGCCAUCAGUUCGGCUGGGAACUCUAGGCCANUCUGCCGGUGACAAACCGGAGGAAGGUGGGGACGACGUCAAGUCAUCAUGGCCCUUAUGGGCAGGGCUACACACGUGCUACAAUGGCCGGUACAAAGGGCAGCGAAGCCGCAAGGUGAAGCGAAUCUCACAAAACCGGUCGUAGUCCGGAUUGCAGUCUGCAACUCGACUGCAUGAAGCUGGAAUCGCUAGUAAUCGUGGAUCAGAAUGCCGCGGUGAAUACGUUCCCGGGCCUUGUACACACCGCCCGUCACACCAUGGGAGUGGGCUGUACCAGAAGUAGGUAGUCUAACCUUCGGGAGGACGCUUACCACGGUGUGGUUCAUGACUGGGGUGAAGUCGUAACAAGGUAGCCCUAGGGGAACCUGGGGCUGGAUCACCUCCUU
RNAcentral lists this ribosomal RNA (453 nucleotides) under uncultured Chromatiales bacterium. RNAcentral describes it as "bacterial SSU rRNA". It matches the Rfam family "Bacterial small subunit ribosomal RNA", at positions 1074 to 1532 of the family's 1533-position model. Lineage: Bacteria; Pseudomonadati; Pseudomonadota; Gammaproteobacteria; Chromatiales. The record is from RNAcentral.